RNAcentral lists this unclassified non-coding RNA (247 nucleotides) under Periconia byssoides. RNAcentral's name for it is "partial contains 5.8S ribosomal RNA, internal transcribed spacer 2, and large subunit ribosomal RNA". The record is from RNAcentral. Lineage: Eukaryota; Fungi; Ascomycota; Dothideomycetes; Pleosporales; Periconiaceae.
CGCACAUUGCGCCCCUCGGUAUUCCGUGGGGCAUGCCUGUUCGAGCGUCAUUUACACCCUCAAGCUCUGCUUGGUGUUGGGCGUCUGUCCCGCCUCGCGGCGUCGGACUCGCCUCAAAGUCAUUGGCAGCGGUCUCGCCGGCUUCUCGCGCAGCACAUUUGCGCUUCUCGGAGCCCGGCGGAUCGGCGUCCAGCAAGCACUUUCACGACUUGACCUCGGAUCAGGUAGGGAUACCCGCUGAACUUAA